ACACUUAUCUGGCAGGGGUGAUGCGAUGAUCAUGAUGGUGGUUUUCCCAGGAUUAAGCUUAUCAAUUGCACUCUGGAUGUGCUGACUCCUGCAGUUUCCCUAAAUGAGGAAAACACAAUUUCAUAUCGUGUGGUAGUGAGGACUGCUUUGCAUUCUCCCCU
Small nuclear RNA from Jaculus jaculus (lesser Egyptian jerboa), 161 nucleotides. Its record names the gene U1. It matches the Rfam family "U1 spliceosomal RNA". From Rfam's summary of the family: U1 is a small nuclear RNA (snRNA) component of the spliceosome (involved in pre-mRNA splicing). Its 5' end forms complementary base pairs with the 5' splice junction, thus defining the 5' donor site of an intron. There are significant differences in sequence and secondary structure between metazoan and yeast U1 snRNAs, the latter being much longer (568 nucleotides as compared to 164 nucleotides in human). The record is from Ensembl. NCBI's taxonomy places the organism in Eukaryota, Metazoa, Chordata, Mammalia, Rodentia, Dipodidae.